UCUUCAGAAACUGUAGAGUGU
Molecule: small nuclear RNA, 21 nt
Filed under: Arabidopsis thaliana (thale cress)
Lineage: Eukaryota; Viridiplantae; Streptophyta; Magnoliopsida; Brassicales; Brassicaceae
Description: snRNA_09316
Source: RNAcentral